GGGUCUCGCUCGUUACCUGACUUAACAGGAUGCUUCACAGUACGAACUGACGACGGCCAUGCACCACCUCUCAGCUAAUCCGGCAAAGUCUUCAGCCUGGCCUUCAUAUUGCUGUCGGUCCCGGUAAGAUUUCCGGCGUUGAAUCCAAUUAAACCGCAAGCUCCACCCGUUGUGGUGCUCCCCCGCCAAUUCCUUUAAGUUUCAGCCUUGCGGCCGUACUUCCCAGGUGGCUCGCUUCACGGCUUCCCUGCGGCACCAAACACGGUCGCACCGUGCCUGACACCUAGCGAGCAUAGUUUACAGCUGGGACUACCCGGGUAUCUAAUCCGGUUCGUGCCCCCAGCUUUCGUCCCUUGCCGUCAGGUCCGUUCUGGUGAGACGCCUUCGCCACUGGUGGUCCUUCAAGGAUUACAAGAUUUCACCCCUACCCCUGAAGUACCUCUCACCUCUCCCGGCCUCGAGCCAGACAGUAUCUCCUGAAAGCCUGACAGUUAAGCUGCCAGAUUUCUCAAGAGACUUAUCCGGCCGGCUACAGACCCUUUAGACCCAAUAAUAACGGUUACCACUCGAGCCGCCGGUGUUACCGCGGCGGCUGGCACCGGUCUUGCCCGGCCCUUGCUAUGAAAUGCUUUUUAGGCAUCUCGACACCAGAUUUGUAACCUGGCACUCGAGGUUCCCUUAUCGCUGUUGCCAGCAUUGUAAAGUUUUCGCGCCUGCUGCACCCCGUAGGGCCUGGAUUCGUGUCUCAGAAUCCAUCUCCGGGCUCUUGCUCUCACAACCCGUACCCGUCGUAGGCUAGUAGGUACGCUACACCCACUACUACCUGAUAGGCCGCAGACCCAUCCUUAGGCGCCGGAGCUUUAAAUCUCGAUGCAUUCCAGCAAUCGAGACCUAUCGGGUAUUAUACCCAGUUUCCCGGGUUUAUACCCAACCUAAGGGCAGGUUGUCCACGUGUUACUGAGCAGUUCGCCAUGUAUUGCUACAUUCGACUCGCAUGGCUUAGUCGAACCUCGAUAGCAGUAACCUCUGGCAGGAUCAACCGGA
This 1044-nucleotide ribosomal RNA is filed under the name unidentified archaeon. Its description in RNAcentral is "16S ribosomal RNA". The record is from RNAcentral.